Molecule: non-coding RNA, 23 nt
Filed under: Mus musculus (house mouse)
Lineage: Eukaryota; Metazoa; Chordata; Mammalia; Rodentia; Muridae
Source: RNAcentral
UCUGAGGUUUCAAGGGUUGCUAG